Felis catus (domestic cat) is the source of this 3484-nucleotide long non-coding RNA. RefSeq lists it as uncharacterized. The transcript is spliced from 3 exons. The record is from RefSeq and is a predicted model, not a curated record. Lineage: Eukaryota; Metazoa; Chordata; Mammalia; Carnivora; Felidae.
AAAUACUAAAAGAAGUGAGGGUGCACCGCAGUUAGAACAGCCUUUCUGGGGGGGUCUCACACAGGGGAUGCCACCAGAGGGGACGGUGCCAGGCCCAAGAUUCGCCUCCCAGGAGGGAGCAGGUUGUCAAGGAUACAAGAGGCUUGCUCCUGCCAGCUAGGCCUACCGUUCAUGCAGGGGUGAGUGUCUGGGAUCCUAGGCGGAGCACCCCUGUGAUUCCUGCCACCUAGCUGGCCUCGACGUGCACAAAGCACUUCCAGGGGGCUACAGACCUCACUUUGCAACUUACUAACUUGUGGUUGUAAGACAACCUCUCCAAGCUUCAGUUUUCAUGUCUGUAAAAGGGGGAUAGUGCUACCUGUCUCGUCAUAGGGCCAUUGCGAAGAGAUGAGAUCCGUAAGGAGGUUUGGCAAAGUGCCGUGCAUGAGUGAGACGUGUGCAGUGAGGUUCAUGGAUGACUCGUGUCCUUUGUCUCCUCCUCCCCAGCCUUCCCUGCCUCAGCCAGGAAAGCCCCACAUCCCAGAAUUUGCUCUUCCAGGAAGCUCCCAGAUUCCUUGUCUGUUUCCCCUGCGAGAGGUGAGCUUGCUUCUGAGCACAGGGCCAGUAUGUCUACCCUGCGAGGCCAUCCAAAACACAGGACCAGCUGAGAAAACUGAGACUGGAAGAAGAGAAGUAACUUGGAGCAGCAGAGGUGAGCCUCAAGCCCCUCUGAUUUCCAAGCUCAUGCUCUCACUAGGCUACUCGUUGAUCUCUGCAGCUGUCUGUCUCCAUGUAAGUGAAUUCAUUCUAAGGACCUGAACCCUAGGCUUCCCCUUUCUGAUUGUGACAUCCUUAUUGUUGCCUCCCCUUCGUAGAGGAAUUUUUCAUUGCCUACAGGCACAGGGUUUAUCUUCUACACCCCCCAUUUCUUUGACCCAUUGCAGACAGGACUCCUACACUGAGAUUUUGCUUGUUUACCAGCUAUUACUGAGGAAGGCAUCUGUAAUGUCUUUUCCUCCUCUGACUAAUGCACUUACAUCCCAAAAGGUCCUUCUUCUGCUCUAAGCUUCCACCUGGAAGGAGGCAGUGAGCAUAGAGGAGGUAGAGAGCAAAGCAAGUCUCCCGUCCUACAGAGACCAAGUGUGCCUGGUGCUGGUGAACAAUGAAUGAGAGCCCUGUGCCUUGAAGCAAGAGGCCUGGGCUCCAACUUCUACUUUGUAGAAGGGAUCUUGUUGUAGUGGGAUCUUGAGCAAGACCUUUUCUUUCUGUGGGCCUCAGUUUCCCCUUCUCUAGAAAGAGGCAAUUGGGUUAGAAGGUUAAUGUUUUUUAUUUUAUAAAUACCCAGAUAUUUGUGCUCUCCUGGUAAGAGGAAGCAAGAAGGAAGGAAGGAACAGGGAGGAAAGAUGAGGGUUUCACGAGGCAGUGGCUUCGGGGCAGCGCGGGACAGAGGUGGACACAGCUGGGGCUCAGGAGAGGACCUGGGGCAGGGCAACAGACACAUUUCCUGUCAAAGCUGCCACAAAGUUAGAAAGGUAACGCUUUUUUUUUUUUUUUUUUUUUUUAAGCAGUCUCCACAUCCUGCUUGAAGCCCAAUGCAGGGCUCGAACUCACAAUCCCGAGAUCAAGAUCUGAGCAGACAUCAAGAGUUGUCCAGCUCAAUCGACUGAGCUACCCAGAUGCCCUUGGAAAGGAUAAAAACCUCAGCCCUCCCCUCCUACCCCCCAUCUGAGCACUGAAACUAAGACGAACGAAGAAAUAAUUCCCCAGGAGGCCAGCGGCAUCCACCCUGGACAAAGAGAGGGUGAGGAGAGAGCCCCGGGCUCCCAGCUGUUUGUCUUGGGGCUGGGGUUCGCAUGCAGUUGCCUACCUGAGAGCUGUCAGUAGCCUGGCUCCUUCGGAUGUGAGGCUCGGUUCCGCCGUAUCAGCCACACCAGCGUAUAUAUAUCCUCCCCCCACCCGCUCAGCCCUCCCCUUCCCUGCCCACCUCGAUGACACAUACACACGCUGACCCCCUUAAUCAAGCGAAUAGCAGAACCUACAAUCCUCCCUGGCUGCUCCCCGCCCCCUUGGCUCUGUGCUCAGACCUGUGACACCCCAGCCUCCCCCCACCAUCCAUCCAUUCUCAAGCCUGCUUUACCUGGACUCUGUUCAGCCAGGAUCCCACAGCUGCCUUCCCUUUGCUUCCAGAGGCACGGCGAGGGCUGAUGGGGAGCUCUGGCAAGUCAGUCAGAAAAAAAGACUCCUGGUGACAGUGACGAGGCAGACCCCAAUCCUGGAGUCUCCUUGAACAACCCUUUUGCACAAGGAGUAAAGAGUAGGAAGCGGGCAGAAGGAGGGGGAAUCUCACACGAAGCUCCCACUGGCACAGGGAAGCCCAGAGCUGGGCUAAGCCAAGCCCCCUUUACUGCAAAUGCCCCACGGGCGGCAACUAUGAGGCCACUCCAGGGAGUGGUUCCACCUGCGAUGGGUCAAGUCAGGAGGCAUUUUGCAGGUGCCCGCAGCCUGGCACAAUGUAAAAUGCCGAGCCUUUCAACUCAGAGUGAAGUGUCUGAGAUUCUGGCUUCUGUCAGAGCAAGUUACUUCUCUUUGAGAACCUCAGGUCCUUCUUCUGUAAAAUGGGUAUGCUACUGCCCAGGGUGAUUGUGAGUAGAAAAACGAGAUUCUAUUUGGAACAUAGGAGACCUUUAAUAAAUGAGUGCUGCACCCCCUUCGUCCUCUUCACGUUAAAUAAGACCAACUGAAUCUGACAAUUCCCUGUCAACAGCUAGUGUCACAACAGAGUACUUUCAGAGCUGCUGCUGUACCUUUGGGCGUUGCGCCCGAGUGCCUUGGAGUCUCAGAAGCUGUUGGAGAUGCCCCCGCCUCUCAGUGUGGAGCCUCCUUCCCUUCCCACGGGGAAGGCAGAUCAUGGUCAGCCCAGGCAGGCCGUGUUUAAAUCUGCAGCAUUCUUGGGGAUCCCUCCUUUCUUUGGCCCUAGGCGAAUUGCACCAUGACUUCCUCCUUGGCUCUCCUGAGAAGAUGCAAAAAUAUUCCAGAAUCCCAAGACAUGAGGCUAUGUCAUUCAAGAAGUUCAAGCACCCUCUCAUGUGGCAAAUCUGGCUCUCUCAUGGACCUAAGAACGGUGGGGAAGGAUGAAAGAAAGCAUCUGCUUUGACUGCUAAUGGCAUGUUUUUUUUUUUUUUAGGGGGUGGGUGAUUGAAACGUUCUGGAAUUAGAUAGUGCUGAUGGUUGCACAACAUUGUGGAUAUACUGAAAACCACGGAAUUAUGUCCUUUAAAACAGUGAAUUUCAUGUUAUGUAAAUUACAUCUCAAUAAAAAAAAAAUAGAAAGCAAGCAAGGAAGCACCUGCGCCAAGUUAAGAUCAACAAGUUCUAAGAAGACAACUUCCCUUCCAUCUGUAUUCAUAGCAAAAGGGUCCAGGAGACCAACAUACCCUGAUUUUAGAUCUCUAGUGCCUGAAACUUACACUUUGUUGUUAUUACAGGUCAAAGCCACCACUCUGAA